UACGUAGGGUGCGAGCGUUAAUCGGAAUUACUGGGCGUAAAGCGUGCGCAGGCGGCGCGUUAAGACAGGUGUGAAAGCCCCCGAGCUUAACUUGGGAAUUGCGCUUGUGACUGGCGUGCGUGGAGUGUGGCAGAGGGAGGUGGAAUUCCACGUGUAGCAGUGAAAUGCGUAGAGAUGAUGGAGGAACACCGAUGGCGAAGGCCAGCCUCCUGGGCCAGCACUGACGCUCAGUGCA
RNAcentral lists this ribosomal RNA (235 nucleotides) under uncultured bacterium. RNAcentral describes it as "partial 16S ribosomal RNA". It matches the Rfam family "Bacterial small subunit ribosomal RNA", at positions 524 to 753 of the family's 1533-position model. The record is from RNAcentral.